RNAcentral lists this microRNA precursor (86 nucleotides) under Branchiostoma floridae (Florida lancelet). Its description in RNAcentral is "mir-2060 microRNA precursor family". It matches the Rfam family "mir-2060 microRNA precursor family". Lineage: Eukaryota; Metazoa; Chordata; Leptocardii; Amphioxiformes; Branchiostomatidae. The record is from Rfam by way of RNAcentral.
AUAUGGAGACAGUAUUCAGCACCAAGGCCAGGUAUGUUUGCAUAUGUGUGGAUGGUGUUCAGCACCAAGGACAGGUAUGUUUGUAU